CCUACGGGAGGCAGCAGUGAGGAAUAUUGGUCAAUGGGCGCUAGCCUGAACCAGCCAAGUAGCGUGAAGGAUGACUGCCCUAUGGGUUGUAAACUUCUUUUAUAUGGGAAUAAAGUGCAGUAUGUAUACUGCUUUGCAUGUACCUUAUGAAUAAGGAUCGGCUAACUCCGUGCCAGCAGCCGCGGUAAUACGGAGGUUCCGAGCGUUAUCCGGAUUUAUUGGGUUUAACGGGAGCGUAGGCGGGUUGUUAAGUCAGUUGUGAAAGUUUGCGGCUCAACCGUAAAAUUGCAGUUGAUACUGGCAGCCUUGAGUACAGUAGAGGGAGGCGGAAUUCGAGGUGUAGCGGUGAAAUGCUUAGAUAUCACGAAGAACUCCGAUUGCGAAGGCAGCCUGCUGGACUGUAACUGACGCUGAUGCGCGAAAGUGUGGGUAUCAAACAGGAUUAGAUACCCUUGUAGUC
Molecule: ribosomal RNA, 460 nt
Filed under: uncultured bacterium
Lineage: Bacteria
Description: partial 16S ribosomal RNA
Rfam family: Bacterial small subunit ribosomal RNA
Source: RNAcentral